RNAcentral lists this ribosomal RNA (798 nucleotides) under uncultured Glomus. RNAcentral's name for it is "SSU rRNA". It matches the Rfam family "Eukaryotic small subunit ribosomal RNA", at positions 314 to 1114 of the family's 1831-position model. Lineage: Eukaryota; Fungi; Glomeromycota; Glomeromycetes; Glomerales; Glomeraceae. The record is from RNAcentral.
AUCAACUUUCGAUGGUAGGAUAGAGGCCUACCAUGGUGGUAACGGGUAACGGGGUGUUAGGGCACGACACCGGAGAGGGAGCCUGAGAAACGGCUACCACAUCCAAGGAUGGCAGCAGGCGCGCAAAUUACCCAAUCCCGACACGGGGAGGUAGUGACAAUAAAUAACAAUACGGGGUUCUUUAGGAUCUCGUAAUUGGAAUGAGUACAAUUUAAAUCUCUUAACGAGGAACAAUUGGAGGGCAAGUCUGGUGCCAGCAGCCGCGGUAAUUCCAGCUCCAAUAGCGUAUAUUAAAGUUGUUGCAGUUAAAAAGCUCGUAGUUGAAUUUCGGGACCAAUUUGUUGGUCGUGCCUCGGUACGUACUGGUAUUAUUGGUUUCUCCCUUCUGAAGAACCUCGAUGCCAUUAAUUUGGUGUCGUGGGGAAUCAGGACUGUUACUUUGAAAAAAUUAGAGUGUUUAAAGCAAGCAUACGCUUGAAUACAUUAGCAUGGAAUAAUGAAAUAGGACGUUUGAUUCUAUUUUGUUGGUUUCUAGGAUCGACGUAAUGAUUAAUAGGGAUAGUUGGGGGCAUUAGAAUUCAAUUGUCAGAGGUGAAAUUCUUGGAUUUAUUGAAGACUAACUACUGCGAAAGCAUUUGCCAAGGAUGUUUUCAUUAAUCAAGAACGAAAGUUAGGGGAUCGAAGACGAUCAGAUACCGUCGUAGUCUUAACCAUAAACUAUGCCGACUAGGGAUCGGAUGAUGUUAAUUUUUUAAUGACUCAUUCGGCGCCUUACGGGAAACCAAAGUGUUUGGGUUC